This 285-nucleotide long non-coding RNA is filed under the name Panax ginseng (ginseng). RNAcentral describes it as "long non-coding RNA (PGIN_LNC011448)". Lineage: Eukaryota; Viridiplantae; Streptophyta; Magnoliopsida; Apiales; Araliaceae. The record is from RNAcentral.
AGAUCAACUUCCAGGUUGUGUAAUAUUUAUUGAAUUAUGCUUUUCUUGCUUGCCUCAUUGAGAUCCUGACUACUUCAUUCCCAAUUUUGCAUAGAAAAACAGCUUCCAUCCAUGAGUUUAUGGCGGUUGAUGAUUCAUUGAUGGAAAAGAUCAUCUCAGCGGACAUUGAUAGCAAAGAUCCAUAGCAUAUCUGGUCUGGAUGUUGUUUUUGCUGUGUUGUUGUUGUUGCACGGUAACAGUAGGAAGUUGUUGCUGUACAACUGUAGAGUAAUUAAUCUGUACUAG